GAAAGUAAGCAAGGGCAGACGGUGGAUGCCUUGGCUCUCGGAGGCGAUGAAGGACGUGAUAAGCUGCGAUAAGCUUGGGGUAGGUGCAAAUAACCUUUGAUCCCAAGAUUUCCGAAUGGGGCAACCCGGCUGGUAGAAGGCCAGUCAUUCCGUAAGGAAGGCGAACGUGGGGAACUGAAACAUCUAAGUACCCAUAGGAGAAGAAAACAAAAGUGAUUCCGCAAGUAGUGGCGAGCGAACGCGGAACAGCCCAAACCGAUGAUGUUUAGGCAUUGUCGGGGUAGUAGGACCACGUUGUGGCAAGAGAUUAAGGAAGUAGAACGUUUUGGAACAAACGGCCGUAGACGGUGAAAGCCCAGUAUACGACUCUUUAACGAAGCCUAGUGGAAUCCUGAGUAGCGCGGAGCACGAGAAAUUCUGUGUGAAUCAGCGGGGCCCAUCCCGUAAGGCUAAAUACUCCCGAGAGACCGAUAGCGAACCAGUACUGUGAAGGAAAGGUGAAAAGCACCUCGAACAGAGGAGUGAAAUAGUCCCUGAAACCGUCUGCCUACAAGCGGUCGGAGCAACGUAAGUUGUGACGGCGUGCCUUUUGCAUAAUGAACCUACGAGUUACUUUCUCCGGCAAGGUUAAGGGCUUCAGGCCCGGAGCCGAAGCGAAAGCGAGUCUUAAUAGGGCGUGAUAGUCGGAGUGAGUAGACGCGAAACCAAGUGAUCUACCCUUGGUCAGGAUGAAGGUUGGGUAACACCAACUGGAGGUCCGAAUGGGUAUACGUUGAAAAGUGUUCCAAUGAACUGAGGGUAGGGGUGAAAGGCUAAUCAAACUUGGAGAUAGCUCGUACUCCCCGAAAUGCAUUUAGGUGCAGCCUUUAUUUAGUAUAGCAUGAGGUAGAGCGACUGAUUGGAUGCGAGGGCUUCACCGCCUAUCAAGUCCAGAUAAACUCCGAAUGCGUGCUAUAUAUUGAUAAGGAGUGAGGGCGCGGGUGCUAAGGUCCGCGUCCGAGAGGAGAAGAAUCCAGACCAUCAGCUAAGGUCCCCAAAUAACAGUUAAGUUGAACUAACGAAGUCGGACUGCAGAGACAGCUAGGAUGUUGGCUUGGAAGCAGCCAUUCAUUUAAAGAGUGCGUAACAGCUCACUAGUCGAGGAGUCCGGCGUGGAUAAUACUCGGGCAUAAACUGUUUACCGAAGCUAUGGAUGUAGAAAUACAUGGUAGGGGAGCAUUCCAACGGCGUCGAAGGUGAAGGAUGACCUUUGCUGGAGCUUUUGGAAACGCAAAUGUAGGUAUAAGUAACGAUAAAGGAGGUGAGAAACCUCCUCGCCGAAAGACUAAGGUUUCCUGAUCAACGUUAAUCGGAUCAGGGUAAGUCGGGACCUAAGGUUAAGCCGAACGGCGAUACCGAUGGAAGAAUGGUUUAAUAUUCCCAUACUACUUUAUGGAGCGAUGUGGAGACGGAGAAGUGAAAGUCCUGCCAUCUGACGGAAUAGGUGGUUGAAGAGUGUAGAUGUAGAUUCCUGUAGGCAAAUCCGCAGGGAGAGUCGACCUUGACAGUAUGCCGCGUGCUUGCACAAGGCAAAAUGGACGUAAUCAGGCUCCCAAGAAAAUCCGCUAAGCAUAUUCAUAAAGUACCCGUACCGUAAACGGACACACGUAGUUGGGUUGAAAAUACUGAGGCGCUCGAGUGAUUCACGGUUAAGGAACUAGGCAAAUUGACCCUGUAACUUCGGGAUAAAGGGUCCCUACUGAGAGGUAGGGCGCAGAGAAUAGGUCCAGGCAACUGUUUAACAAAAACACAUGGCUGUGCGAAAUAGAAAUAUGAAGUAUACAGCCUGACACCUGCCCGGUGCUGGAAGGUUAAGAGGAGAGCUCAUCGCAAGAGAAGGCUUGAAUUGAAGCCCCAGUAAACGGCGGCCGUAACUAUAACGGUCCUAAGGUAGCGAAAUUCCUUGUCGGGU
Molecule: ribosomal RNA, 1951 nt
Filed under: human gut metagenome
Description: bacterial LSU rRNA
Rfam family: Bacterial large subunit ribosomal RNA
Source: RNAcentral